Molecule: ribosomal RNA, 429 nt
Filed under: Pseudomonadota bacterium
Lineage: Bacteria; Pseudomonadati; Pseudomonadota
Description: Proteobacteria bacterium partial 16S ribosomal RNA
Rfam family: Bacterial small subunit ribosomal RNA
Source: RNAcentral
UGGGGAAUAUUGGACAAUGGGCGAAAGCCUGAUCCAGCCAUGCCGCGUGUGUGAAGAAGGUCUUCGGAUUGUAAAGCACUUUAAGUUGGGAGGAAGGGCAGUAAGCGAAUACCUUGCUGUUUUGACGUUACCGACAGAAUAAGCACCGGCUAACUCUGUGCCAGCAGCCGCGGUAAUACAGAGGGUGCAAGCGUUAAUCGGAAUUACUGGGCGUAAAGCGCGCGUAGGUGGUUCGUUAAGUUGAAUGUGAAAGCCCCGGGCUCAACCUGGGAACUGCAUCCAAAACUGGCGAGCUAGAGUAGGGCAGAGGGUGGGGGAAUUUCCUGUGUAGAGGUGAAAUGCGUAGAUAUAGGAAGGAACACCAGUGGCGAAGGCGACCACCUGGGCUCAUACUGACACUGAGGUGCGAAAGCGUGGGGAGCAAACAGG